UGAGGAAUAUUGCACAAUGGGCGAAAGCCUGAUGCAGCAACGCCGCGUGAGGGACGAAGGCCUUCGGGUCGUAAACCUCUUUUCUGGGGGACGAGUAAGGACGGUACCUCAGGAAUAAGUCUCGGCUAACUACGUGCCAGCAGCCGCGGUAAAACGUAGGAGGCGAGCGUUAUCCGGAUUUACUGGGCGUAAAGCGUACGCAGGUGGCUUCGUGAGUCGGACAUGAAAGCUCCCGGCUUAACUGGGAGAGGUUGUUCGAUACUGCGGGGCUUGAGGCUGGGAGAGGGACGUGGAAUUCCCGGUGUAGUGGUGGAAUGCGUAGAUGUCGGGAGGAACACCAGUGGCGCAAGCGGCGUCCUGGCCCACACCUGACGCUGAGGUACGAAAGCGUGGGUAGCAAACAG
Molecule: ribosomal RNA, 404 nt
Filed under: uncultured bacterium
Lineage: Bacteria
Description: bacterial SSU rRNA
Rfam family: Bacterial small subunit ribosomal RNA
Source: RNAcentral